GACGAACGCUGGCGGCGUGCUUAACACAUGCAAGUCGAACGGAAAGGCCCUGCUUUUGUGGGGUGCUCGAGUGGCGAACGGGUGAGUAACACGUGAGUAACCUGCCCUUGACUUUGGGAUAACUUCAGGAAACUGGGGCUAAUACCGGAUAGGAGCUCCUGCUGCAUGGUGGGGGUUGGAAAGUUUCGGCGGUUGGGGAUGGACUCGAGGCUUAUCAGCUUGUUGGUGGGGUAGUGGCUUACCAAGGCUUUGACGGGUAGCCGGCCUGAGAGGGUGACCGGCCACAUUGGGACUGAGAUACGGCCCAGACUCCUACGGGAGGCAGCAGUGGGGAAUAUUGCACAAUGGGCGGAAGGCUGAUGCAGCAACGCCGCGUGCGGGAUGACGGCCUUCGGGUUGUAAACCGCUUUCGCCUGUGACGAAGCGUGAGUGAAGGUAAUGGGUAAAGAAGCACCGGCUAACUACGUG
This 468-nucleotide ribosomal RNA is filed under the name uncultured bacterium. Its description in RNAcentral is "partial 16S ribosomal RNA". It matches the Rfam family "Bacterial small subunit ribosomal RNA", at positions 28 to 507 of the family's 1533-position model. The record is from RNAcentral.